RNAcentral lists this ribosomal RNA (1061 nucleotides) under Microbacterium sp. RNAcentral describes it as "bacterial SSU rRNA". It matches the Rfam family "Bacterial small subunit ribosomal RNA", at positions 60 to 1130 of the family's 1533-position model. The record is from RNAcentral. Lineage: Bacteria; Bacillati; Actinomycetota; Actinomycetes; Micrococcales; Microbacteriaceae.
AGUCGAACGGUGAACAUGGAGCUUGCUCUGUGGGAUCAGUGGCGAACGGGUGAGUAACACGUGAGCAACCUGCCCCUGACUCUGGGAUAAGCGCUGGAAACGGCGUCUAAUACUGGAUAUGUGACGUGACCGCAUGGUCUGCGUUUGGAAAGAUUUUUCGGUUGGGGAUGGGCUCGCGGCCUAUCAGCUUGUUGGUGAGGUAAUGGCUCACCAAGGCGUCGACGGGUAGCCGGCCUGAGAGGGUGACCGGCCACACUGGGACUGAGACACGGCCCAGACUCCUACGGGAGGCAGCAGUGGGGAAUAUUGCACAAUGGGCGCAAGCCUGAUGCAGCAACGCCGCGUGAGGGAUGACGGCCUUCGGGUUGUAAACCUCUUUUAGCAGGGAAGAAGCGAAAGUGACGGUACCUGCAGAAAAAGCGCCGGCUAACUACGUGCCAGCAGCCGCGGUAAUACGUAGGGCGCAAGCGUUAUCCGGAAUUAUUGGGCGUAAAGAGCUCGUAGGCGGUUUGUCGCGUCUGCUGUGAAAUCCCGAGGCUCAACCUCGGGCCUGCAGUGGGUACGGGCAGACUAGAGUGCGGUAGGGGAGAUUGGAAUUCCUGGUGUAGCGGUGGAAUGCGCAGAUAUCAGGAGGAACACCGAUGGCGAAGGCAGAUCUCUGGGCCGUAACUGACGCUGAGGAGCGAAAGGGUGGGGAGCAAACAGGCUUAGAUACCCUGGUAGUCCACCCCGUAAACGUUGGGAACUAGUUGUGGGGUCCAUUCCACGGAUUCCGUGACGCAGCUAACGCAUUAAGUUCCCCGCCUGGGGAGUACGGCCGCAAGGCUAAAACUCAAAGGAAUUGACGGGGACCCGCACAAGCGGCGGAGCAUGCGGAUUAAUUCGAUGCAACGCGAAGAACCUUACCAAGGCUUGACAUAUACGAGAACGGGCCAGAAAUGGUCAACUCUUUGGACACUCGUAAACAGGUGGUGCAUGGUUGUCGUCAGCUCGUGUCGUGAGAUGUUGGGUUAAGUCCCGCAACGAGCGCAACCCUCGUUCUAUGUUGCCAGCACGUAAUG